RNAcentral lists this ribosomal RNA (474 nucleotides) under uncultured bacterium. RNAcentral's name for it is "bacterial SSU rRNA". It matches the Rfam family "Bacterial small subunit ribosomal RNA", at positions 29 to 513 of the family's 1533-position model. The record is from RNAcentral.
AGUGAACGCUGGCGGCGUGCUUAACACAUGCAAGUCGAACGAGAACGGAUUAUAGCUUGCUAUAAUUGUCAGCUAAGUGGCGCACGGGUGAGUAAUAUAUAGGUAACGUGCCCUAGAGAGGGGGAUAACAGUUGGAAACGAUUGCUAACACCCCAUAUGCCUUUAAGACUUAAGUCUGCAAGGGAAAUAUUUAUAGCUCUAGGAUCGGCCUGUACAGUAUCAGUUAGUUGGUGAGGUAAUGGCUCACCAAGACAAUGACGCUUAACUGGUUUGAGAGGAUGAUCAGUCACACUGGAACUGAGACACGGUCCAGACUCCUACGGGAGGCAGCAGUGGGGAAUAUUGCACAAUGGACGAAAGUCUGAUGCAGCAACGCCGCGUGGAGGAUGGCACAUUUCGGUGCGUAAACUCCUUUUAUAUAGGAAGAUAAUGACGGUACUAUAUGAAUAAGCACCGGCUAACUCCGUGCCAGCA